AUGCUCAGCUUAUUUCUUUUCAAACGAUCUCAAAUCGAGCUAAAAGACGAAUCAAUCUCCAGUGGCUCAUGCGCCUCGAGCUUUUCUUAUAGCCCUAUUUACACUAAAGUACCAUGUCUAGAUCAAUUUCUAGUACUAAAUAUCCAGCAAAAAAUCCCUAACAUAAGGGGUAAGAUGUACGGCGCGAUGGAAGAAGAGGUUUUUCCAGUCGCAGCACCAUCACUGAGAGACGUGCAAUGCGGGAGGUUUGCAACCACGUUGGAGAAGAGUUCAGCAGUCACACGCGGGCGCUCCCCAAAAAACCUUCUUGCCCCACUCCUGUGA
Molecule: ribosomal RNA, 324 nt
Filed under: Triticum aestivum (bread wheat)
Lineage: Eukaryota; Viridiplantae; Streptophyta; Magnoliopsida; Poales; Poaceae
Description: partial small subunit ribosomal RNA
Source: RNAcentral